AUGAACGCUGGCGGCGUGCCUAAUACAUGCAAGUCGAGCGAACAGACGAGGAGCUUGCUCCUCUGACGUUAGCGGCGGACGGGUGAGUAACACGUGGAUAACCUACCUAUAAGACUGGGAUAACUUCGGGAAACCGGAGCUAAUACCGGAUAAUAUAUUGAAUCGCAUGGUUCAAUAGUGAAAGACGGUUUUGCUGUCACUUAUAGAUGGAUCCGCGCCGCAUUAGCUAGUUGGUAAGGUAACGGCUUACCAAGGCAACGAUGCGUAGCCGACCUGAGAGGGUGAUCGGCCACACUGGAACUGAGACACGGUCCAGACUCCUACGGGAGGCAGCAGUAGGGAAUCUUCCGCAAUGGGCGAAAGCCUGACGGAGCAACGCCGCGUGAGUGAUGAAGGUCUUCGGAUCGUAAAACUCUGUUAUUAGGGAAGAACAAAUGUGUAAGUAACUAUGCACGUCUUGACGGUACCUAAUCAGAAAGCCACGGCUAACUACGUG
Molecule: ribosomal RNA, 496 nt
Filed under: uncultured bacterium
Lineage: Bacteria
Description: partial 16S ribosomal RNA
Rfam family: Bacterial small subunit ribosomal RNA
Source: RNAcentral